AGUCGAGCGAUGAUGCUCCCUUCGGGGAGUACAUCAGCGGCAGACGGGUGAGUAACACGUAGAUAACCUGCCCUCAAGACGGGGACAACCGGUGGAAACAGCGGCUAAUACCCGAUAUGCUCACAGGAUCGGGAGAUCGAGUGAGGAAAGCGCCCCUUCGGGGGAGAGUGUUUGAGGAGGGAUCUGCGGCCCAUCAGCUAGUUGGUGAGGUAACGGCUCACCAAGGCGAAGACGGGUAGGGGGUGUGAGAGCAUGGCCCCCCACAAUGGGACUGAGACACGGCCCAUACUCCUACGGGAGGCAGCAGCGGGGAAUAUUGCGCAAUGGACGGAAGUCAGACGCAGCGACGCCGCGUGGGUGAGGAAGGCCUUCGGGUUGUAAAGCCCUUUUCAGGGGAGCGAGAAAGGACGGUACCCUUGGAAUAAGCGUCGGCUAACUACGUGCCAGCAGCCGCGGUAAGACGUAGGACGCAAGCGUUAUCCGGAUUUACUGGGCGUAAAGCGCCUGUAGGCGGUCAAGUAAGUCGGAUGUGAAAGCCCCGUGCUCAACGCGGGGAAAGCCAUUCGAUACUGCGUGACUAGAGAACGGCAGAGGGAAACGGGAAUUUCUGGUGUAGCCGGUAAAAUGCGCAGAGAUCAGAAAGAACACCGAUGGCGAAGGCAGUUUCCUUAGGCCGCAUCUUGACGCUUGAGAGGCGAAAGCUAGGGGAGCAACCAGGAUUAGAGACCCUGGUAGUCCUAGCUUGUAACCGAUGGAUGCUAGGUGUGGGG
RNAcentral lists this ribosomal RNA (770 nucleotides) under uncultured organism. RNAcentral's name for it is "bacterial SSU rRNA". It matches the Rfam family "Bacterial small subunit ribosomal RNA", at positions 60 to 827 of the family's 1533-position model. The record is from RNAcentral.